Molecule: ribosomal RNA, 333 nt
Filed under: uncultured fungus
Lineage: Eukaryota; Fungi
Description: LSU rRNA
Source: RNAcentral
CAGUCAUACCAACAGGAAAUCAACCUUUUGAGUUUGGUCUCGUGGGUUUUGAAGAGUUUAAAAGCCUUUCGGAUUUUCGAGAUUGGGUUCUUCUGGUGUACUUUCUCGUACGGUUAGUCAACAUCGGUUUUGAAUGUCAUAAAACGACUGGAGGAAUGUGGCUUCGAUCUCGUAUUGAAGUGUUAUAGCCUUUGGUAGAUGUGAUGUUUGAGACCGAGGAUUGCAACGGAUACCCUUCUGGGCUAUUCGUCUGAUCUCUGAAACGUUGCCUUGAUGUCGAAAGCUUGCUUAUGAUGUUAGGGUAUUACGGUCAAAAGGUUAGAACGGAUUAAA